GACACUAGGGGAUGCUGUGAAUUCCAUGCUCCAAGGUUUAAGCUGAGGGCAGUGGGGAGGAAGGGUGGAGAGGUACCUGUAUCCACCUGGCCUGUUCACUACUUAAUUUUCUUUUGCACCAUGCACCAGAGGAUCAUCUCUAAAGGCAAACAGGCUCUCUAGUAAGGUCAGUAGCUUGGGAUGGGAGUCCGAGGCAGCCCAGCCUUUGGGGAGGGACCUCUGGCCUGAUUGUUCUCAGUGAUUCAGGGAGGGAAGUGAGCCUGCCUCACUGGGCCUUUUCCCUCCUAUAUCUCCCUAGGCUUCCUCCCAGGUUCUUAUCUUGCUUUGGCAGUCCCAACUUUUAGUUGAUGAGGGAGGCAUAGAAGGACAGGAAUCAGGCUGGGUGCAGUGGCUCACACCUGUAAUCCUAGCACUUUGGGAGGCCGAGAGGGGAGGACUGCUUAAGCCCAGGAGUUUGAGACCAACCUGGGAAACAAAGUGAGACCCUGUCUCUACAAAAAAAAAAUCAAAAA
RNAcentral lists this small RNA (512 nucleotides) under Pongo abelii (Sumatran orangutan). RNAcentral describes it as "processed transcript". Lineage: Eukaryota; Metazoa; Chordata; Mammalia; Primates; Hominidae. The record is from RNAcentral.